This 460-nucleotide ribosomal RNA is filed under the name uncultured bacterium. RNAcentral describes it as "partial 16S ribosomal RNA". It matches the Rfam family "Bacterial small subunit ribosomal RNA", at positions 338 to 795 of the family's 1533-position model. The record is from RNAcentral.
CCUACGGUAGGCAGCCGUGAGGAAUAUUGGUCAAUGGACGCAAGUCUGAACCAGCCAUGCCGCGUGCAGGAAGACGGCUCUAUGAGUUGUAAACUGCUUUUGUACGAGGGUAAACGCAGAUACGCGUAUCUGUCUGAAAGUAUCGUACGAAUAAGGAUCGGCUAACUCCGUGUCAGCAGCCGCGGUAAUCCGGAGGAUUCAAGCGUUAUCCGGAUUUAUUGGGUUUAAAGGGUGCGUAGGCGGUCGGAUAAGUUAGAGGUGAAAUCCAGAGGCUCAACUUCGGAAUUGCCUCUGAUACUGUUCGGCUAGAGAGUAGUUGCGGUAGGCGGAAUGUAUGGUGUAGCGGUGAAAUGCUUAGAGAUCAUACAGAACACCGAUUGCGAAGGCAGCUUACCAAGCUACUUCUGACGUUGAGGCACGAAAGCGUGGGGAGCAAACAGGAUUAGAUACCCCUGUAGUC